CUACUGCUCUAAUAACACUGACCACCCCAAGGUAAGAGACUACUGCUAUAUAAUAACACUGACCACCCCAAGGUAAGAGACUACUGCUAUAUAAUAACACUGACCACCCCAAGGUAAGAGACUACUGCUCUAUAAUAACACUGACCACCCCAAGGUAAGAGACUACUGCUCUAUAAUAACACUGACCACCCCAAGGUAAGAGACUACUGAUCUAUAAUAACACUGACCACCCCAAGGUAAGAGACUACUGCUCUAUAAUAACACUGACCACCCCAAGGUAAGAGACUACUGCUCUAUAAUAACACUGACCACCCCAAGGUAAGAGACUACUGCUCUAUAAUAACACUGACCACCCCAAGGUAAGAGACUACUGA
Molecule: long non-coding RNA, 374 nt
Organism: Oncorhynchus keta (chum salmon)
Lineage: Eukaryota; Metazoa; Chordata; Actinopteri; Salmoniformes; Salmonidae
Exons: 3
Source: RefSeq, a predicted model, not a curated record